AUGCAAGAAGAGAAAUUGAUGAAGACAUGAAAGAAACAGUUAUGUCCUUACACUCAUUGCCUAUAAUGCCUAACAU
RNAcentral lists this small RNA (76 nucleotides) under Salix viminalis (osier). Lineage: Eukaryota; Viridiplantae; Streptophyta; Magnoliopsida; Malpighiales; Salicaceae. The record is from RNAcentral.